GUCUCGCGUAGGGUUCGGAGGCAGUUGCUCUGCGCCGUGAGUUCCUCGCCGCCUUCUUCCCUUUUUAUCUCCCGAGCCUUGACUUGGAUUCGGUGUAGCAGAGAAAAAAAAGGCAUCUCUCACUUUGGUUUUCCCUUUUCCUCUCUGUGAUUUGUGCUUUGCGGUUGAGAGCUUGGACUCCAAUCAUGGCCUUGGCCUAAGCACUUGCAGCACGGGAGGUCUCUUGUUGGUGCUCGGAGCUGCGCUGCCAAGGUUCGUCCGCACUGCAGAGGUGGUGCGGCUGAGGUAUUGUAUCUCCGUCUUCCUCCAUCCGACGAUAUAGCCGGGUGAUUGGAUUUCUGGGACUGCAGCUCUUGCUGUGCCUUGCCUCACUCUUCAGCCCUUCCAGCAUACUCACUUGAUAAGAUCACCAUGUUCUGAUUAGGAGAAGUCUGAACUCCUGUGUGCUGAUUUAGAUUGAGAAAUCUGUCACUGCUUAUUACAUCUUAUUCCUGGUUCUGAGCAGCAAGUACUUUUGAAUUCAGCAAAUUGUGGAGUUUUUCAGCACUUAGUUGCCUGAUAUAGAAUCCAGUGUAUGUUCUGUCCCUUGUGCAGAAAGAUUUUAACCUUCCGGGAUUAGUUCUGUGAAGGUUCUGUGUUGGCCAUGUUCUGAAUUCUGAGUUUCAGUAAAGAUCCUUUUGGAGGCCAUGUGCUAAAUUAUGAUUUUUAGUAGAGUUAUACUUGCUGUUAUAGCCAGGAAUUUGAGGAAUACAGAGAAUUGUAAAUUAAGGUUGUCAUCUAGUUGAGAUCUCAUAAUUUAGCUUAAUUAGUGAUAUGAUUUAAAGAUCAGCUUGGGAGCAAAUCUUUAUAGAUUUGGAGCCAGCUGAUAUGAUUAGUUUGAGAGCCAUAUGAUUAUGUUCUCUAGUUUAAUUCAGAUAUAUAUUAUGAUUCAUCUUCUCAGUGUUCAUCAUAUGAAAGACAUGUAUUUCAUUUUCUUGUCUU
Phragmites australis (common reed) is the source of this 981-nucleotide long non-coding RNA. RefSeq lists it as uncharacterized. The transcript is spliced from 2 exons. The record is from RefSeq and is a predicted model, not a curated record. Lineage: Eukaryota; Viridiplantae; Streptophyta; Magnoliopsida; Poales; Poaceae.